AUUGAACGCUGGCGGCAUGCUUUACACAUGCAAGUCGAACGGUAACAGGCCUUCGGGUGCUGACGAGUGGCGAACGGGUGAGUAAUGCAUCGGAACGUGCCCAAUCGUGGGGGAUAACGUAGCGAAAGUUACGCUAAUACCGCAUAAGCCCUGAGGGGGAAAUGGGGGACCGCAAGGCCUCGCGCGAAUGGAGCGGCCGAUGUCAGAUUAGCUAGUUGGUGGGGUAAAGGCCCACCAAGGCGACGAUCUGUAGCGGGUCUGAGAGGAUGAUCCGCCACACUGGGACUGAGACACGGCCCAGACUCCUACGGGAGGCAGCAGUGGGGAAUUUUGGACAAUGGGCGCAAGCCUGAUCCAGCCAUGCCGCGUGCGGGACGAAGGCCUCGGUUGUAA
Molecule: ribosomal RNA, 393 nt
Filed under: uncultured bacterium
Lineage: Bacteria
Description: bacterial SSU rRNA
Rfam family: Bacterial small subunit ribosomal RNA
Source: RNAcentral